Long non-coding RNA from Oryza sativa Japonica Group (Japanese rice), 528 nucleotides. RefSeq lists it as uncharacterized. NCBI's taxonomy places the organism in Eukaryota, Viridiplantae, Streptophyta, Magnoliopsida, Poales, Poaceae. The record is from RefSeq and is a predicted model, not a curated record.
GAAACAGGCCAUUGUGGAUAUAUACAAGCACAGAAGAACAAGUAAAUAUAAUCGACAGAGAACUAAAGCCGACGAGGUCUCGACAGGCGAAAUAUGGAUCCUGCAGAGAGAGUGGUGAAGGCGGCAUGGUACAAGGGCGCUGUCGUCACUCAUAGGCCGAAGCCUGUUUCGCCUAUCGUUAACCAGAGCAAGAACAAGAACAAGCAAGCCAAGAAGCCCAAACCAGCUGCACCCAGCAAGAAGUGAUAAACUUAACUGGCUGCCUGCCUCUACUACACAGUAUGUAUGCAAACCGAAAGACUGGCUAAUUAGGGGGUUUAAUCUUCAGGAUUCAGUUCAGGUUUGAGCUGAACACUGAAGAAGUGAAGAGUACUUGGAUACAGUUAAUUUUACCUGUUCAAACUUCAAACAGUCCUACAGGAUGCCGGAUGUAUGUGUGUUGUGAGAAUAAAAUGAUUGAGAUACUAUACUCUGUGAUGUUCAUAUUGACCUCCUGGUUGAAAUUUGGGAAUAAAUUAUUUCUGGAAA